AGGACGAACGCUGGCGGCGUGCUUAACACAUGCAAGUCGAGCGGAAAGGCCCUUCGGGGUACUCGAGCGGCGAACGGGUGAGUAACACGUGAGCAACCUGCCCUUGGCUCUGGGAUAGCCUCCGGAAACGGGGAUUAAUACCGGACAUUCACUUUCUCCUGCAUGGGGGUUGGUGGAAAGUUUUUCGGCCAGGGAGGGGCUCGCGGCCUAUCAGCUUGUUGGCGGGUAACGGCCCACAAGGCGACGACGGGUAG
This 254-nucleotide ribosomal RNA is filed under the name uncultured bacterium. Its description in RNAcentral is "partial small subunit ribosomal RNA". It matches the Rfam family "Bacterial small subunit ribosomal RNA", at positions 26 to 286 of the family's 1533-position model. The record is from RNAcentral.